GGAGCAUGCUGGGAGCCGAGAAAAAGAGGAAGAGAGCGCAAAGCAAGGAAUCGACAAUACCGAGGUGGAGGAGCAGCAGGUUGUUGGCAGUCUGGACCUGCAACAAGAGAGCAACGACAGCUGAAAAAUCACGGGUCUUGUGUGAUAACUGUACUAUGAGGGCUGCCAACACCGGUACUGAAACGCGGGUACAGACGUCCUAUCUUUUCUUGCAAAUGGAGAAAGAAUGGAUGUGUGUACCUGCUUCGUGAGGACCACAACGAGCAGAAUAUACCCGUUGAGUAGCAGGCCCAGGACUGUGACCAUGAUGAGAGGCACUCCGAGGGCAAGCGAGGUCAUCACCACUCAAGUUCCAGCGACGGGCAGCGCGUCACGGCGACUCAUUGCACCUCCUGCAACACAAGCGGUCCACAGUUUCUCAAGGAAAUUCCUGUACUUCCAAAUCGAUCUCUUCACCCAUCACAAACAUGGCAACAAAGCGAAUAUUUUGAAUCGGCAAAAUUUUAAGUAACAGUAGUAGAUAUGUGUAGAAAUUAUCCACGAAACCAAAUCAUUUUCAAUUUAUAAUUCAUAACAAACUUUACUAUUUAGUCUGAACAAUUUUAAGGGAAGCAGAUGGCAUUACAUUUGUAUAUAGGUUUAUUUAGUUAUUUAUAGUUUAUUUAACGAUGCUUUUCCAGUAGUACAGCCUAUAAAUCGUCGACAGACUUUAUUAGACAAUGACGAUGACUUUGAUCUUUUUAAAAAAAUGUUUGUGUCCAUGUUUAGCCGUCAGAGCAAGAACAUCUACUAUAAAAUCAACAUACUAAUUUGUAUAAAAUGUUGUAAGUUCAAAUAUAUAGGAAAGACAAUAACAAAUAAAAAUUACGUCGACGAAGAUGUUCAAAAAGAAAUUUUUUUUGGAAAAUUCUUCAUGUAACAGAAAGUACGAAACGGGAACAUAGGGAAAGUCACGUGGUAAAUAAAUAAAUGAUUGCCCUGA
Long non-coding RNA from Zootermopsis nevadensis, 982 nucleotides. RefSeq lists it as uncharacterized. NCBI's taxonomy places the organism in Eukaryota, Metazoa, Arthropoda, Insecta, Blattodea, Termopsidae. The record is from RefSeq and is a predicted model, not a curated record.